This 301-nucleotide ribosomal RNA is filed under the name uncultured bacterium. Its description in RNAcentral is "partial 16S ribosomal RNA". It matches the Rfam family "Bacterial small subunit ribosomal RNA", at positions 509 to 807 of the family's 1533-position model. The record is from RNAcentral.
CAGUAGCCGCGGUAAUACAGAGGGUGCGAGCGUUAAUCGGAUUUACUGGGCGUAAAGCGUGCGUAGGCGGCUUCUUAAGUCGGAUGUGAAAUCCCUGAGCUUAACUUAGGAAUUGCAUUCGAUACUGGGAAGCUAGAGUAUGGGAGAGGAUGGUAGAAUUCCAGGUGUAGCGGUGAAAUGCGUAGAGAUCUGGAGGAAUACCGAUGGCGAAGGCAGCCAUCUGGCCUAAUACUGACGCUGAGGUACGAAAGCAUGGGGAGUAAACAGGAUUAGAUACCCCCGUAGUCCCUGUCUCUUAUAC